GUGAGGAAUUUUCCGCAAUGGGCGAAAGCCUGACGGAGCAAUGCCGCGUGAAGGAUGAAGGCCUAUGGGUUGUAAACUUCUUUUCUCAGAAAAGAAUUAUGACGGUAUCUGAGGAAUAAGCAUCGGCUAACUCUGUGCCAGCAGCCGCGGUAAGACAGAGGAUGCAAGCGAUAUCCGGAAUGAUUGGGCGUAAAGCGUCUGUAGGUUGUUUAAAAAGUAUUCUGUCAAAGAUUAGGGCUUAACCCUAGAUAGGCAGAAUAAACUUUUAAGCUAGAGUUUGGUAGAGGCAGAGGGAAUUCCCGGUGGAGCGGUGAAAUGCGUAGAUAUCGGGAGGAACACCAAAGGCGAAGGCACUCUGCUGGGCCAAUACUAACACUGAGAGACGAAAGCGAGGGGAGCAAAUGGGAUUCGAAACCCCUGUAGUCC
This 426-nucleotide ribosomal RNA is filed under the name uncultured bacterium. RNAcentral describes it as "bacterial SSU rRNA". It matches the Rfam family "Bacterial small subunit ribosomal RNA", at positions 354 to 796 of the family's 1533-position model. The record is from RNAcentral.